Amblyraja radiata (thorny skate) is the source of this 126-nucleotide long non-coding RNA. RefSeq lists it as uncharacterized. The record is from RefSeq and is a predicted model, not a curated record. Lineage: Eukaryota; Metazoa; Chordata; Chondrichthyes; Rajiformes; Rajidae. The transcript has 3 exons.
CAGGUAAAUGAGGAGUUAAUUAAACAAAUGUUAAUUUUGAAACUUUAAUAUGUGUAGAAAAUUGCAUAAUUUCUUUGAAGUAAGAAUGGAACGAAUGUGAUUUGUGUGUAAAAACCGGUUUUGAAU